RNAcentral lists this ribosomal RNA (2806 nucleotides) under Veillonella sp. RNAcentral's name for it is "partial 23S ribosomal RNA". It matches the Rfam family "Bacterial large subunit ribosomal RNA". The record is from RNAcentral. Lineage: Bacteria; Bacillati; Bacillota; Negativicutes; Veillonellales; Veillonellaceae.
UUGGCGAUAUCAGCCGAAGAAGGACGCGGUAAGCUGCGAUAAGCUACGGAGAGGUGCAAGCAACCUUUGACCCGUAGAUUUCCGAAUGGGGGAACCCGGCAGUGGUUAUGCACUGUCACCCAUACCUUUGAGUAUGAGGAGGGCACCUGGGGAACUGAAACAUCUAAUUACCCAGAGGAAAAGUAAUCAAACGAGAUUUUCUUAGUAGCGGCGAGCGAACGGGAAAGAGGCCAAACCGGAGCGGGCAACCGCACCGGGGUUGAGGACAGUCAUCAAGUGUAAAUGAGGUAGAAGAAUCGAGUUGGAAAGCUCAGCCGAAGAAGGUGAAAGCCCUGUAAUCGAAACCUUGCAUACACGGGACUGUAUCCAGAGUACCACGAGACACGUGAAACCUUGUGGGAAGCAGGGGGGACCACCCUCCAAGCCAAAAUACUGAUAUCGACCGAUAGCGCAUAGUACCGUGAGGGAAAGGUGAAAAGAACCCCUGGCGGGGAGUGAAAGAGAACCUGAAACCGUAUGUCUACAAACAGUCGAAGUCUGUAUAUAUAUCAGGACGACGGCGUGCCUAUUGAAGAAUGAACCGACGAGUUACUGUUGCUAGCGAGGUUAAGUGGAAGACACGGAGCCGCAGCGAAAGCGAGUCUGAACAGGGCGUUCAGUUAGUAAUAGUAGACCCGAAACCGUAGUGAUCUAUCCAUGGCCAGGUUGAAGCACAGGUAAAAUUGUGUGGAGGACCGAACUCGUGAGCGUUGAAAAGCUUUGGGAUGAGUUGUGGAUAGGGGUGAAAUGCCAAUCGAACACGGAGAUAGCUGGUUCUCCCCGAAAUAGCUUUAGGGCUAGCCUCGAGGUUGAGAGUAUAGGCGGUAGAGCACUGAUCGGGCUAGGGGCCAUACCGGUUACCGAACCUAGUCAAACUACGAAUGGCUAUACUUAUACUCGGGAGUCAGACAGUGAAUGAUAAGGUCCAUUGUCAAGAGGGAAACAGCCCAGAACACCGACUAAGGUCCCAAAUGUUACACUAAGUGGCGAAGGAUGUGGAAUUUCCAAAACAACCAGGAUGUUGGCUUAGAAGCAGCCACCAUUUAAAGAGUGCGUAAUAGCUCACUGGUCGAGAGACUCUGCGCCGAAAAUGUCCGGGGCUAAAGUGUAAAACCGAAGUCGUGUCAUAUGCAGCAAUGUAUAUGGGUAGGGGAGCGUUCUCAUUGGGUUGAAGCAGUACCGUAAGGAGUUGUGGACUGAUGAGAAGUGAGAAUGUCGGUAUGAGUAGCGAAAAGAAUGGUGAGAAUCCAUUCCACCGAAAGCCUAAGGGUUCCUGAGCAACGAUCGUCGUCUCAGGGUAAGUCGGGACCUAAGCCGAGGCGGAAAAGCGUAGGCGAUGGACAACAGGUUGAAAUUCCUGUACCGGUGUGAAUCGUUUGAUCGAUGGAGUGACACAGUAAGGUAGGUCAGCACGCGAUUGGAAGUGCGUGUUUAAGCAUGUAGGUUGAGUUAUAGGCAAAUCCGUAGCUCUAAAAGCUGAGAUGUGAUGACGAGUUACUAGCGAUAGUAACGAAGUGAUUGAUCCUACACUGUCGAGAAAAGCUUCUAGCCUCCGUAACUUCGGGAAAAGGAGGACUCAUGUAGUGUGAAGUGCAGCAACGCAUGGAGCAUGAAUGAGUGGCACAAGAGAGGCGCAAGCGACUGUUUACCACAAACACAGGUGCCUGCUAAAGCGAAAGCUGAUGUAUAGGUGCUGACACCUGCCCGGUGCUGGAAGGUUAAGAGGAGGGGUUAGACUUCGGUCGAAGCUCUGAAUUGAAGCCCCAGUAAACGGCGGCCGUAACUAUAACGGUCCUAAGGUAGCGAAAUUCCUUGUCGGGUAAGUUCCGACCCGCACGAAAGGUGUAACGACUUGCGCACUGUCUCAACGAGGGACCCGGUGAAAUUGAAGUACCUGUGAAGAUGCAGGUUACCCGCGACUGGACAGAAAGACCCCAUGGAGCUUUACUGCAACCUAAGAUUGAACUUAGUUAAUGAAUGUACAGGAUAGGUGGGAGACGUAGAACCUAGGACGCCAGUUUUAGGGGAGUCAUUGUUGGGAUACCACCCUUUCAUUAAUUGAUUUCUAACGGGCCGAGUAACGACCGGCCGGACAGUCUUAGGCGGGCAGUUUGACUGGGGCGGUCGCCUCCUAAAGAGUAACGGAGGCGCCCAAAGGUUCCCUCAGAGCGGACGGAAAUCGCUCGAAGAGUGUAAAGGCAGAAGGGAGCUUGACUGCGAGACGGACAGGUCGAGCAGGGACGAAAGUCGGGCUUAGUGAUCCGGUGGUGCCGAGUGGAAGGGCCAUCGCUCAACGGAUAAAAGCUACCCUGGGGAUAACAGGCUAAUCUCUCCCAAGAGUCCAUAUCGACGGGGAGGUUUGGCACCUCGAUGUCGGCUCAUCACAUCCUGGGGCUGAAGUAGGUCCCAAGGGUUCGGCUGUUCGCCGAUUAAAGUGGUACGUGAGCUGGGUUCAGAACGUCGUGAGACAGUUCGGUCCCUAUCCAUCGCGGGCGCAAGAAACUUGAAGGGGGCUGCUCCUAGUACGAGAGGACCGGAGUGGACGAACCGCUGGUGUACCAAUUAUCCUGCCAAGGGUACAGUUGGGUAGCUACGUUCGGGACGGAUAAACGCUGAAAGCAUCUAAGCGUGAAACCAGCCUUGAGAUGAGGUUUCUCAUAGCAUAAGCUAGUAAGAUCCCAUGUAGACGACAUGGUUGAUAGGCCAGGUGUGGAAGAGCCGUGAGGUUUGGAGCUGACUGGUACUAAUAGAUCGAGGGCUUUACUUA